Molecule: ribosomal RNA, 198 nt
Filed under: uncultured bacterium
Lineage: Bacteria
Description: partial 16S ribosomal RNA
Rfam family: Bacterial small subunit ribosomal RNA
Source: RNAcentral
ACGCUCGACACCUACGGGGGGCAGCAGUGGGGGAUAUUGCACAAUGGGGGAAACCCUGAUGCAGCGACGCCGCGUGAAGGAAGAAGGCCUUCGGUUGUAAACUUCUGUCGUACGGGACGAUAGUGACGGUACCGUACAAGAAAGACCACGGCUAACUACGUGCCAUCAGCCGCGGUAAUCUGAGCGGGCUGGCAAGGC